RNAcentral lists this ribosomal RNA (263 nucleotides) under uncultured bacterium. RNAcentral describes it as "partial 16S ribosomal RNA". It matches the Rfam family "Bacterial small subunit ribosomal RNA", at positions 793 to 1055 of the family's 1533-position model. The record is from RNAcentral.
GUCCACGCUGUAAACGAUGGGUGCUAGGUGUGGGCGGUGUCGACUCCGUCCGUGCCGAAGCUAACGCAUUAAGCACCACGCCUGGGGAGUACGGCCGCAAGGCUAAAACUCAAAGGAAUUGACGGGGGCCCGCACAAGCAGCGGAGCAUGUUGUUUAAUUCGACGCGACGCGAAGAACCUUACCAGGGCUUGACAUGCACGGGAAUGUCGUAGAAAUACGGCAGCCCUUCGGGGCUCGUGCACAGGUGGUGCAUGGCUGUCGU